Molecule: ribosomal RNA, 335 nt
Filed under: uncultured eukaryote
Lineage: Eukaryota
Description: partial 18S ribosomal RNA
Rfam family: Eukaryotic small subunit ribosomal RNA
Source: RNAcentral
CAUUAGCAUAUACUAAAGUUGUUGCAGUUAAAACGCUCGUAGUCGAAAUUGUGAGCUUCGUAUGCUGCCACGAUAGUGGUGGAAGCGAGGUUGAUAUUCCCCAUUGGGGAGCGUUACUUUGAGGAAAAUAGAGUGUUCCAAGCAGGCUAAGUUGAAUAGUUCAGCAUAGGAUAACACAAGAGGACUGGGUGCUUAGUUCAGCGAUGGACGACGGCGUUCAGUAAAGGUGAAUAGGAGCGGUUGGGGGUGCUGGCAUGUCGUGAGGAGCGGUGAAAUGCUAGAAUCCAUGAUGGGCCAACGAAUGCGAAAGCAAGCACCAAGGACGUUUCUGGUGA